CGACGACGACGUGGUUGACAAUUUUUGCCUGUCUUGUACAUUAUCUUGCGCAUUCUGAGUUUAGGGUCAGGAGUGAAGACAGAUUAGAGAUUCAUGUCUAGCUGUUUGUGAAUGCUGACUCAAAUCCUUACCCUGAUCAGGAUAAAACAGCGAGACAUGAAUCCAUAUCCCGUCUUCGUUCUUCUGCCUUCGUUCACAACGAAUAUUUUGGCAAAAUUCGUUGUGAACUUCGUUCUGCACGAAGGCAGAAGGACAGAGACGGGAUAUAGUUUCAUGUCUCGUUGUUCCCUUCUGGAUCAGGGCAAGAAUUAUGGUCAGUUUUCAUAAACAGCGACACAUGGGAAGACACGUUGAGCAACUACCAGUGACG
RNAcentral lists this long non-coding RNA (370 nucleotides) under Paramuricea clavata. The record is from RNAcentral. Lineage: Eukaryota; Metazoa; Cnidaria; Anthozoa; Malacalcyonacea; Plexauridae.